ACUCAAUUGGUAGAGUACAAAGCUCUUAACCUUAUGGACGUGGGUUCAAGCCCCAU
This 56-nucleotide transfer RNA is filed under the name Triticum urartu. It matches the Rfam family "tRNA", at positions 10 to 63 of the family's 71-position model. Rfam says of the family: Transfer RNA (tRNA) molecules are approximately 80 nucleotides in length. Their secondary structure includes four short double-helical elements and three loops (D, anti-codon, and T loops). The record is from Rfam by way of RNAcentral. Lineage: Eukaryota; Viridiplantae; Streptophyta; Magnoliopsida; Poales; Poaceae.